Molecule: ribosomal RNA, 368 nt
Filed under: Kalophrynus nubicola
Lineage: Eukaryota; Metazoa; Chordata; Amphibia; Anura; Microhylidae
Description: partial 16S ribosomal RNA
Rfam family: Bacterial large subunit ribosomal RNA
Source: RNAcentral
UGUUCAUUAAAUGUGGACUAGUAUGAACGGCAUCACGAGGGUUAUUCUGUCUCCCUCUUCCUAUCAAUGAAACUGAUCUGCCCGUGAAGAAGCGGACAUAAAAAUAUAAGACGAGAAGACCCCAUGGAGCUUUAAACUCAGAAACACCGCUGUAAACAAACCUUAAUAAUGAGCACCCUGAUUUCUAGUUUUCGGUUGGGGUGACCACGGAGAACAACAAAACCUCCAUGAUGAACGGACUUACCUCCUAAUCCAAGAGCAACAACUCUAAGAAUCAACACAUUGACAAAAAUGAUCCAAAAAUUUUGAUCAACGAACCAAGUUACCCUGGGGAUAACAGCGCAAUCCAUUUCAAGAGCUCUUAUCGA